Molecule: non-coding RNA, 1537 nt
Organism: Prunus mume (Japanese apricot)
Lineage: Eukaryota; Viridiplantae; Streptophyta; Magnoliopsida; Rosales; Rosaceae
Source: RefSeq, a predicted model, not a curated record
AUGGCAGUUGAAGCUGAAGCUGAUGAGACUGAUUCACCUUAUCAUGCCACGUCUGUGGACAGAUUGACAAGCAUAGAAGAAAAUGAUAAGUUCAAGGGCUUCCGGUCAGGAAAGUCAUAUGCUAAUCUCCGUGAGUUUGCAAAGUUCAUCAAAGAGGAAUAUGGACUGAAAAAUGAGGAAAUACGACCCCUGGAUCAAACACAUAGUUCAGUCCCCUGGAAACGUGAGCCACUUAUCUGUACAACCCUUGACCCCAUGGAGAAAUAUGGGAUUGGCAUGAUUGCCCCCUCAAAUAUUUAUAGGUUUUAUGACGAUCUUCAUUGCUACCUUGCAAGUUGCAAUGUAGAUGGAGUUAAGGUGGAUGUGCAAAAUGUACUGGAACUUCUUGGUUCUGGUUAUGGAGGCCGUGUCGCAUUGAUGAGGCGGUACCAAGAAGCCCUUGAGGAAUCUGUUAUAAGAAACUUCCAUCGCAGUAACCUUAUUUGCUGCAUGAGCCUUAGCAACGACUACAUUUACAGCUCAAAGCAAGGUGCAGCUAGUAGGGUAUCCGAGGAUUUCAUGCCAAUGGAGCCAACAUUUCAGACCCUACAUGUUGCUGCUGUAGCUUUUAACAGUCUUCUCAUGGGAGAGAUUGCUCAGCACCUAAAUUAAUUCCUAAUUGUCUUUCUUCUGCAUUUUCAGAGUGACCAUUACACAGCUGAGUUCCAUGCUGCAGCAAGGGCAUUGGGGGGAUGUCCAGUAUAUGUAAGUGACAAGCCAGGCAGCCAUAAUUUCAAUGUUCUUAAAAAGCUUGUACUGCCUGAUGGCUCUAUUCUAAGGGCUAGAUAUGCUGGCCGUCCUGCUCGGGACUGUUUAUUCAGUGAUCCAGUCCUAGAUGGGAAGAGUCUAUUGAAGAUUUGGAAUUUAAACAAGUUCUCAGGAGUCAUUGGUGUGUUCAAUUGCCACAGAGCAGGAAAGUGGCCACCAACCGCCGGUGCUCCAAAUGAGCCUCUCUCAGAAUCGACACCACUGCCUUUUUCCGGCCUUGUCAGCCCCUUAGAUGUCGAUUUGCUUGAAGAGGUUACAAAUGAAAGUUGGAGAGGAGAGUGCAGUAUAUGCAUUCUAUUCAGGUUCACUUUCUGUGAUGCCAAAGAAAGAAAAUUUUGAAGUCACCUUGGGUGUUUUAGAAUGUGAAGUUUUCACCAUAACUCCUAUUAGGGUGUUUGGUCCCUGUAUUCAAUUAGCCCCAAUUGGGUUGCUUGAUAUGUACAACUCAGGAGGAGCCAUUGAAUCUCUACAUUGCAAAAAUGAACUUUCGGAAUGUGUCAUGAAGGUCCGAAUCCGAGGAUGUGUCGAUUUGGAGCCUACUCCAACAAAAAACCAAGGUUUUGUAUGGUGGACAAGAAAGAAGAGUUUAUAGUCUACAAUGCUAAUAAUGGUUUGUUGCUACUUAAACUUCAUGGCGAAUGCAGUGUAAGAGAGAUUGAAAUUGUGUAUUGAAAGUCUGCAGCUCCUGAGGGGCUUUAAACUUUGUUUGAAGCAAUUUAAGUGUCAUGUA